This 260-nucleotide ribosomal RNA is filed under the name uncultured Burkholderiales bacterium. RNAcentral's name for it is "partial 16S ribosomal RNA". It matches the Rfam family "Bacterial small subunit ribosomal RNA", at positions 524 to 784 of the family's 1533-position model. Lineage: Bacteria; Pseudomonadati; Pseudomonadota; Betaproteobacteria; Burkholderiales. The record is from RNAcentral.
UACGUAGGGUGCAAGCGUUAAUCGGAAUUACUGGGCGUAAAGCGUGCGCAGGCGGCUUUGCAAGACAGAUGUGAAAUCCCCGGGCUUAACCUGGGAACUGCAUUUGUGACUGCAUGGCUGGAGUGCGGCAGAGGGGGAUGGAAUUCCGCGUGUAGCAGUGAAAUGCGUAGAUAUGCGGAGGAACACCGAUGGCGAAGGCAAUCCCCUGGGCCUGCACUGACGCUCAUGCACGAAAGCGUGGGGAGCAACAGGAUUAGAUA